UCGCACGAGAAAGCAGGAGCAAUCUUGUGAGUAAAGUGGCGUACGGGUGAGUAACACGUGGAUCAUCUACCUCUUGGUGGGGAAUAACCCUGGGAAACCGGGGCUAAUACCGCAUAAGCCUGCGAAGGGAAAGCAGCAAUGCGCCGAGAGAGGAGUCCGCGGCCGAUUAGCUAGUUGGCGGGGUAACGGCCCACCAAGGCGAAGAUCGGUAGCCGGCCUGAGAGGGCACACGGCCACACUGGCACUGAAACACGGGCCAGACUCCUACGGGAGGCAGCAGUGGGGAAUCUUGCACAAUGGAGGAAACUCUGAUGCAGCGACGCCGCGUGAGCGAUGAAGCCCCUCGGGGUGUAAAGCUCUUUCGACGGGAAAGAUAAUGACGGUACCCGAAGAAGAAGCUGCGGCUAACUACGUGCCAGCAGCCGCGGUAAUACGUAGGCAGCAAGCGUUGUUCGGAAUUACUGGGCGUAAAGAGUGUGUAGGCGGUGCUCUAAGUCUGUUGUGAAAUCUCCCGGCUUAACUGGGAGGGUGCGGCGGAGACUGGAGUGCUAGAGUGUGGGAGAGGUAAGCGGAAUUCCUGGUGUAGCGGUGAAAUGCGUAGAUAUCAGGAGGAACACCUGUGGUGUAGACAGCUUACUGGACCACGACUGACGCUGAGACACGAAAGCGUGGGUAGCAAACAGGAUUAGAUACCCUGGUAGUCCACGCCCUAAACGAUGCAUACUUGGUGUGAGCCAUUCAUUUUGGUCGUGCCGGAGCUAACGCGUUAAGUAUGC
Molecule: ribosomal RNA, 776 nt
Filed under: uncultured bacterium
Lineage: Bacteria
Description: bacterial SSU rRNA
Rfam family: Bacterial small subunit ribosomal RNA
Source: RNAcentral